CAGUGCGCUGUUACCUUUGGUCGGCACCCCGAGGGCGUUUCUGAGUCCCGAGAAGCACCGGUCCCAGGGGCUGGCCCGCUGCCCUCGGCUGCCCCCGGCUGCCCCCGCUGUUGCCCCUUAACCGCCCAGCACAGGGAACAUGACAGCCGCCCUGCAGGCGGCGCUGAAAGAACCCUCCCAUCAACACCAGGAGCCAGGCGGUGAAGGACCGGGCAGGCAGCAUCGUGCUGAAGGUGCUCAUCUCCUUCAAGGCCGGCGACAUAGAAAAGGCCGUGCAGUCCCUGGACAGGAACGGCGUGGACCUGCUCAUGAAGUACAUCUACAAGGGCUUCGAGAGCCCCUCCGACAACAGCAGCGCCGUGCUCCUGCAGUGGCACGAGAAGCUGAACUACAAUGCAGCAAUCCGGGGCCAGCGCUGCGGCACUCGGGUAAGUCCAGUCUGCGACACCAGCAUCCCAGCAUCCCGUACGGCGCCGGCUCGGGUCCGGCUGCUCCACUUCUGCUCCAGCUGCCUGCUAACGCCUGGGAAAGCAGCGGGGGAUGCCCGAGAGCUUGGGCCCCGCACCCGCGUGGGAGACCCGGAUGGAGCUCCAGGCUCCUGGCUUCGCCGGCCCAGCCCCAGCUGGUGCAGCCACUAGGGGGUGAGCCAGUGGAGAAAGUGCUCGCUCGCUCGCUCUCUCUCGCUCUCUCUCUGUAA
RNAcentral lists this long non-coding RNA (697 nucleotides) under Oryctolagus cuniculus (rabbit). RNAcentral describes it as "lncRNA (ENSOCUG00000021558.2)". The record is from RNAcentral. Lineage: Eukaryota; Metazoa; Chordata; Mammalia; Lagomorpha; Leporidae.